UCUCCGUUGGUGAACCAGCGGAGGGAUCAUUACCGAACAAACAACUCGCGGAACCCUAUGACUAUCCCACAUGUUGCAGCCGCGCACGCCCGAGCGUGCCCUCUUGCAUAAUGAUCCAUCUCACCCUCUGUGCACCCCCUCGCGGGCUCUCUCUUGUGUGAUCUCGGAGGGGGGCUCGCGAACUCACACAAACGCCUCUUCUAAAAGUGUAGAAUGACCACAUUUCUGCAAACAAUACAACUAUCCACAACAGAUCCCUUGGCUCUCGCAGCGAUGAAA
This 279-nucleotide unclassified non-coding RNA is filed under the name plant metagenome. Its description in RNAcentral is "partial contains small subunit ribosomal RNA, internal transcribed spacer 1, and 5.8S ribosomal RNA". The record is from RNAcentral.